GACGAACGCUGGCGGCGUGCUUAACACAUGCAAGUCGAACGGAAAGGCCCUGCUUUUGUGGGGUGCUCGAGUGGCGAACGGGUGAGUAACACGUGAGUAACCUGCCCUUGACUUUGGGAUAACUUCAGGAAACUGGGGCUAAUACCGGAUAGGAGCUCCUGCUGCAUGGUGGGGGUUGGAAAGUUUCGGCGGUUGUGGAUGGACUCGCGGCUUAUCAGCUUGUUGGUGGGGUAGUGGCUUACCAAGGCUUUGACGGGUAGCCGGCCUGAGAGGGUGACCGGCCACAUUGGGACUGAGAUACGGCCCAGACUCCUACGGGAGGCAGCAGUGGGGAAUAUUGCACAAUGGGCGGAAGCCUGAUGCAGCAACGCCGCGUGCGGGAUGACGGCCUUCGGGUUGUAAACCGCUUUCGCCUGUGACGAAGCGUGAGUGGCGGUAAUGGGUAAAGAAGCACCGGCUAACUACGUG
Molecule: ribosomal RNA, 468 nt
Filed under: uncultured bacterium
Lineage: Bacteria
Description: partial 16S ribosomal RNA
Rfam family: Bacterial small subunit ribosomal RNA
Source: RNAcentral